Molecule: ribosomal RNA, 527 nt
Filed under: Arthrobacter sp. TFSAE7
Lineage: Bacteria; Bacillati; Actinomycetota; Actinomycetes; Micrococcales; Micrococcaceae
Description: bacterial SSU rRNA
Rfam family: Bacterial small subunit ribosomal RNA
Source: RNAcentral
UGCUUAACACAUGCAAGUCGAACGAUGAUGCCCAGCUUGCUGGGUGGAUUAGUGGCGAACGGGUGAGUAACACGUGAGUAACCUGCCCUUAACUCUGGGAUAAGCCUGGGAAACUGGGUCUAAUACCGGAUAUGACUCCUCAUCGCAUGGUGGGGGGUGGAAAGCUUUUUGUGGUUUUGGAUGGACUCGCGGCCUAUCAGCUUGUUGGUGAGGUAAUGGCUUACCAAGGCGACGACGGGUAGCCGGCCUGAGAGGGUGACCGGCCACACUGGGACUGAGACACGGCCCAGACUCCUACGGGAGGCAGCAGUGGGGAAUAUUGCACAAUGGGCGCAAGCCUGAUGCAGCGACGCCGCGUGAGGGAUGACGGCCUUCGGGUUGUAAACCUCUUUCAGUAGGGAAGAAGCGAAAGUGACGGUACCUGCAGAAGAAGCGCCGGCUAACUACGUGCCAGCAGCCGCGGUAAUACGUAGGGCGCAAGCGUUAUCCGGAAUUAUUGGGCGUAAAGAGCUCGUAGGCGGUUUGUC